GACGUAGGAGGCGAGCGUUAUCCGGAUUCACUGGGCGUAAAGCGCAUGUAGGCGGUUGCACAAGUCCGUUGUUAAAGCCCCUGGCUCAACUGGGGGAGGUCAAUGGAGACUGUGCGACUUGAGGGCAAUAGAGGCACGUGGAACUCCCGGUGUAGCGGUGGAAUGCGUAGAGAUCGGGAAGAACACCAGUGCGAAGGCGACGUGCUGGGUUGCACCUGACGCUGAGAUGCGAAAGUGUGGGGAGCAAACGGG
This 252-nucleotide ribosomal RNA is filed under the name uncultured bacterium. RNAcentral's name for it is "partial 16S ribosomal RNA". It matches the Rfam family "Bacterial small subunit ribosomal RNA", at positions 524 to 776 of the family's 1533-position model. The record is from RNAcentral.